This 253-nucleotide ribosomal RNA is filed under the name uncultured bacterium. RNAcentral's name for it is "partial 16S ribosomal RNA". It matches the Rfam family "Bacterial small subunit ribosomal RNA", at positions 524 to 776 of the family's 1533-position model. The record is from RNAcentral.
UACAGAGGGUGCGAGCGUUAAUCGGAAUUACUGGGCGUAAAGCGUGCGCAGGCGGUGAGCUGUGUCCGAUGUGAAAGCCCCGGGCUUAACCUGGGAAUGGCAUUGGAAACUGGCUCGCUAGAGUGUGGCAGAGGGGGGUGGAAUUCCGCGUGUAGCAGUGAAAUGCGUAGAGAUGCGGAGGAACACCGAUGGCGAAGGCAGCCCCCUGGGCUAACACUGACGCUCAGGCACGAAAGCGUGGGGAGCAAACAGG